CUUUGCAUUCAAAAUCUCGUUCGUCUCCUCUGUUAUCUGUUUGCCUUGUUCUCGUGGGAGCAUGCCUUCUCAUUGGUUAUGUUUACAGUGGUCCAGGUAUGUUCAAAAGUAUCAG
Molecule: non-coding RNA, 115 nt
Organism: Camelina sativa (false flax)
Lineage: Eukaryota; Viridiplantae; Streptophyta; Magnoliopsida; Brassicales; Brassicaceae
Source: RefSeq, a predicted model, not a curated record